CUCCAAUAGCGUAUAUUAAAGUUGUUGCGGUUAAAAAGCUCGUAGUUGAAUCUCAGUUCAUGUUAAGUGGUCCGCCAUACGGCGGUUACUUCUUAACUGAACAUUUUACAGAUUUGCCUCUUGAUGCUCUUUACCGAGUGUCAUGAGCGAUCUGUACGUUUACUUUGAAAAAAUUAGAGUGCUCAAAGCAGGCAUUUUGCCCGAAUAAUCUUGCAUGGAAUAAUGGAAUAGGACCUUAGUUCUAUUUUGUUGGUCUCCGGAAUCUGAGGUAAUGAUUAAGAGGGACAGACGGGGGCAUUCGUAUUGCGGCGCUAGAGGUGAAAUUCUUGGACCGUCGCAAGACGAACUACAGCGAAAGCAUUUGCCAAGAAUGUUUUCAUUAAUCAAGAACGAAAGUUAGAGGUUCGAA
Molecule: ribosomal RNA, 409 nt
Filed under: Hannemania hepatica
Lineage: Eukaryota; Metazoa; Arthropoda; Arachnida; Trombidiformes; Leeuwenhoekiidae
Description: SSU rRNA
Rfam family: Eukaryotic small subunit ribosomal RNA
Source: RNAcentral